GGAGGGUCAGGGCGGAGCGCG
Molecule: unclassified non-coding RNA, 21 nt
Filed under: Chlamydomonas reinhardtii
Lineage: Eukaryota; Viridiplantae; Chlorophyta; Chlorophyceae; Chlamydomonadales; Chlamydomonadaceae
Description: small RNA Cre_1826
Source: RNAcentral